Oncorhynchus masou masou (cherry salmon) is the source of this 3732-nucleotide long non-coding RNA. RefSeq lists it as uncharacterized. The transcript is spliced from 5 exons. NCBI's taxonomy places the organism in Eukaryota, Metazoa, Chordata, Actinopteri, Salmoniformes, Salmonidae. The record is from RefSeq and is a predicted model, not a curated record.
UAUGAUCGCUGGAUGAUUCGUUUUAAGUCUAAUACUGCGGGUAAUGGAGUCGCCAAUGACUAGAGUUUUCAAUUUGUCAGAGCUAAUGGUGGGAAGCUUCGGCGUCUCAGACCCCGUAACGGGAGGAGUAUAGACCAGAGAAGGCUCGGCCUCUGACUCCGACUCGCUACUUAAUGGGGAAAACCGGUUGAAAGUUUCUGUCGGCUGAAUGAGCGACACCGGUUGAGCGUUCCUACAGCAUUUCCUUCCAGAAACCAUGAGAAAGUUGUCCGGCUGCGGGGACUGUGCCAGGGGAUUUAUACUACUAUCUGUACUUGCUGGUGGCACAGACGCUGUUUCAUCCUUUCCUACACUGAAAUUACCCUUGCCUAACGAUUGCGUCUGAAGCCGGGCUUGUAGCACAGCUAUCCUCGCCGUAAGGCGAGUACAGCGACUGCAAUUAGAAGGCAUCAUGUUAAUGUUACUACUUAGCUUCGGGUGUUGGAGGUCCUGACGAAUCGUGUCCAGAUAAAGCGUCCGGAGUGAAAAAGUUGUGGGUGGAAAAAAAAAAUAUAUAUGUGUGUGUGUAUAACAACAGUAAUUAAAAAGUAAAAACCGUAAAAUUGUCAGGUAGCAAAAUAGGUUGGCAACAAAACGCACAGCAACUCGAAAACAGGUCUGCAAGUUGUGACCGUCUUGCUGAGGAGCUCAACCAUGAGAAGGACCCACAAGCCCAACUGGAUAAGGUCAUUAACGAGGCAAAAAGGCUGGCUGAGGAGCUCAACCCAGAAUGGGAAAAGAAAAAGACAACUACAUCCAAAAGGCAACUACAUCCACUUAUGUUGCUCCAAGGGCCAGUACAUCAAGAGACAGACGAGUGCAACAUUUUGGGCCAGUCACUGAGGAAGAAUCAGAGACAAGGACCAGUGGAUUGGAAUCCACUCCAGUUUUCAACAUUGAUGAAGAAAUAGGCGACCAGUUUUGAUAGCCUUCAGCCGCACCCUCAACCUACUCCUCCUCUGUUCCUCGGGUGAUGUGAAGGUAAACCCAGGCCCCGCAUGUCCCCAGGCACCCUCAUUUGUUGAUUUCUGUGAUCGAAAAAGCCUUGGUUUCAUGCAUGUCAACAUCAGAAGCCUCCUCCCGAAGUUUGUUUUACUCACUGCUUUAGCACACUCUGCCAAACCUGAUGUCCUUGCCCUGUCUGAAUCCUGGCCUAGGAUGGCCACCAAAAAUUUUGAGAUUUCCAUACCCAACUAUAACAUUUUCCGUCAAGAUAGAACUGCCAAAGGGGGAGGAGUUGCAAUCUACUGCAGAGAUAGCCUGCAAAGUUCUGUCAUACUUUCCAGGUCUAUGCUCAAACAGUUCGAACUUCUAAUUUUAAAAAUGGAUCUCUCCAGAAAUAAGUCUCUCACUGUUGCCGCCUGCUACUGACCCACCUCAGCUCCCAGCUGUGCCCUGGACACCAUCUGUGAAUUGAUCGCCCCCCAUCUCGCUUCAGAGUUUGUUCUGUUAGGUGACCUAAACUGGCAUAUGCUUAACACCCCGACAGUCCUACAAUCUAAGCUAGAUGCCCUCAAUCUCACACAAAUCAUCAAGGAACCCACCAGGUACAACCCUAAAUCCGUAAACAUGGGCACCAUAAUUUACAUUAUUCCGACCAGCUUGCCCUCCAAAUACACCUCUGCUGUCUUCAAUCAGGAUCUUAGCGAUCACUGCCUCAUUGCCUGUAUACGCUACAGGUCCGCGAUCAAAUGACCACCCCUCGUCACUGUCAAACGCUCCCUAAAACACUUCUGCGAGCAGGCCUUUCUAAUCAACCUGGCCCGGGUAUCCUGGAAGGAUAUUGACCUCAUACCAUCAGUUGAGGAUACCUGGUCAUUCUUUAAAAGUAACUUCCUCACCAUCUUAGACAAGCAUGCUCCUUUCAAAAAAUGCAGAAUUAAGAACAGAUAUAGCCCUUGGUUCACUCCAGACCUGACUGCCCUCGACCAGCACAAAAACAUCCUGUGGCGAACUGCAAUAGCAUCGAAUAGUCCCCGCGAUAUGCAACUGUUCAGGGAAGUCAGAAACCAAUACAUGCAGUCAGUCAGGAAAGCAAAGGCCAGCUUUUUCAAGCAGAAAUUUGCAUCCUGUAGCUCUAACUCCAAAAUGUUCUGGGAAACUGUCCAUGGAGGCUAGGUAACACGGUCACCACCGAUAAAACCGUGAAAAUCGAAAAAUUCAACAAGCAUUUCUCAACGGCUGGCCAUGCCUUCCUCCUGGCUACUCCAACCUCGGCCAACAGCUCCACCGCCCCACCCCCCGCAGAUACUCGCCCAAGCCUCCCCAGCUUCUCCUUUACCCAAAUCCAGACAGCAGAUGUUCUGAAAGAGCGGCAAAACCUUCAAAUCCCCAAGCUGACAAGGUACAAAUCUGUCGUUCUGCCCCUGAACAGGCAGUUAACCCACUGUUCCUAGGCCGUCAUUGAAAAUAAGAAUUUGUUCUUAACUGACUUGCCUAGUUAAAUAAAGGUAAAAUAAAUAAAAAAUAAAAUAAUCGAUAAAAAUCAGUACUGUGCAGCCGUCUUCAUCGACCUGGCCCAGGCUUUCGACUCUGUCAAUCACCAUAUUCUUAUCGGCAGACUCAGUUGCCUCGGUUUUUCUAAUGACUGCCUUGCCUGGUUCACCAGCUACUUUGCAGACAGAGUUCAGUGUGUCAAAUCGGGGGGCAUGUUGUCCGGUCCUCUGGCAGUCUAUGGCGGUACCACAAGGUCCAAUUCUCAGGCCGACUCUUUUCUGUGUAUAUAUCAAUGAUGUUGCUCUUGCUGCGGGCGAUUCCCUGAUCCACCUCUACGCAGAUGACACCAUUCUGUAUACCUCUGGCCCUUACUUGGACACUGUGCUAUCUAACCUCCAAACGAGCUUCAAUGCCAUACAAUACGCCUUCCGUGGCCUCCAACUGCUCUUAAACGCUAGUAAAACCAAAUACAUGCUUUUCAACCGUUCGCUGCCUGCACCCACACGCUCGACUAGCAUCACCACCCUGGAUGGUUCCGACCUAGAAUAUGUGGACAUCUAUAAGUACCUAGGUGUCUGGCUAGACUGCAAACUCUCCUGCCAGACUCAUAUCAAAUAUCUCCAAUCCAAAAUCAAAUCUAGAGUCGACUUUCUAUUUCGCAACAAAGCCUCCUUCACUCAUGCCGCAAAACUUACCCUAGUAAAACUGACUAUCCUACCGAUCCUCGACUUCGGCAAUGUCAUCUACAAAAUAGCUUCCAAAACUCUACUCAGCAAACUGGAUGCAGUUUGUCAAAGUGCCAUCCGUUUUGUUACUAAAGCCACUUAUGCAAUCCACCACUGCGACCUGUAUGCUCUAGUUGGCUGGCCCCCGCUACAUGUGAGCAGCUAACCGAUCGCUGCAGCUGUACAUAGUCCAUCGGUAUAUAGCCCACCCAAUUUACCUACCUCAUCCCCAUACUGUUUUUAUUUUAUUUACUUUUCUGCUCUUUUGCUCACCAGUAUCUCCACUUGCACAUGUUCAUCUGAUCAUUUAUCACUCCAGUGUUAAUCUGCUAAAUUGUAAUUAUUCACUCCUAUGGCCUAUUUAUUGCCUACCUCCUCAUGCCUUUUGCACACAAUGUAUAUAGACUCAUUUUUUCUACGAUGUUAUUGACUUGUUUAUUGUUUACUCCAUGUGUAACUCUGUGUUGUUGUCUGUUCACACUGCUAUGCUUUAUCUUGGCCAGGUCGCAGUUGCAAAUGAGAACCUGUUCUC